UUUUAGGGGGGGUGGAGGACUGAUUAAUUAUUGGCAAUUACUGUGUGGGUGACCUGGGGCCCGAGUUGUGGGGCAGGCAGGUGGGUUUGGAUGUGUGAGGGCUGCACCUGCCCAACAAGGCGCAGCUGGGCCCAGCAGGUGCCUCUGUGGAAACCUGCGUGAGGGAGGGCAGCACGGCAGUGAGGGGCGAGGAGGAGGUGUGGGCAGCAGCCCUGUGAGCAGCCAGGUUGGAGGAAAAGCAGGAUCACCCAUUUGAAUUUGUGCCAAUCUCUACAGGAACCUGAUGCCAGCAAUUUAAGGAUCUUCACAUUCAGUCUCAGUGCCCUAACGAAGCAAUUCCAGGACAGUCUCAACAAAACCAACCUCUACCGUGUGUCAUUACUUGAACUUGACGCUCUUCCCUCUGCUGCCAGGCAUUCAAUUUCCCCGCAGAUUUUGUCCCCUCGUUAAGGUUUGGGAACAGUUUGUAGAUUUGCCACUAGCCCCAGGAGGCAGUACACUGGUCCUGAGGAUACAUGGUGGUGCAGGAAAUCAGUUCACGAUGCUCAGU
Molecule: long non-coding RNA, 550 nt
Filed under: Anser brachyrhynchus (Pink-footed goose)
Lineage: Eukaryota; Metazoa; Chordata; Aves; Anseriformes; Anatidae
Description: lncRNA (ENSABRG00000006229.1)
Source: RNAcentral